This is a long non-coding RNA of Tympanuchus pallidicinctus (lesser prairie-chicken), 1606 nucleotides long. RefSeq lists it as uncharacterized. NCBI's taxonomy places the organism in Eukaryota, Metazoa, Chordata, Aves, Galliformes, Phasianidae. The record is from RefSeq and is a predicted model, not a curated record. The transcript has 4 exons.
UCCAGCCCUAAUGGUGCUGUGGCUGUGUGGUUGGGCAUGGUGGCUGUGGGUUGGUGAUCCUGGAGGUCUGCUCCAACCCUAAUGAUGCUGUGGCUGUGUGGUUGGGCAUGGUGGCUGUGGGUUGGUGAUCCUGGAGGUUCCCUCCAACCCUAAUGAUGCUGUGGCUGUGUGGUUGGGCAUGGUGGCUGUGGGGUUGGUGAUCCUGGAGGUCUGCUCCAACCCUAAUGAUGCUGUGGCUGUAUGGUUGGGCAUGGUGGCUGUGGGUUGGUGAUCCUGGAGGUCUGCUCCAACCCUAAUGAUGCUGUGGCUGUGUGGUUGGGCAUGGUGGCUGUUCACUCCAACCCUAAUGAUGCUGUGGCUGUGUGGUUGGGCAUGGUGGCUGUGGGGUUGUGGUUGGACUUCAUCUUAGAGGUCCUUUCCACCCUUUAUGAUUCUAUGAUGAUAUGUAGGUUGUUGCUUUCCAGUUAGGGUGGGAAAUGAAAUAAGUGCUUUGGUGUUGUGCAAGAAGCCCCCUGCCCUUUAUUUUAACUAAGUGAAGAUGUUGUUUCUUGGUAGUCUGGAAAGAUCUCAGCCGUUGUUGCUGUCGUAGGUGGGGGAUAUUUUUGUAUUGCUUUCGCAGCCCAAUCUCCAAUAGGGCUUUUCUUCACCAAGUGGAUGGAGCUGAAGGAUUAUGUGGGAGGUGGGAGGCUCUCACUCAUCUUCCUGUGAUGUUUCAAGGUGUUGGGAGACAAAAGCAGCCUUGCUUGGAGCAGGUUGGGUAGAAGCCUCCAGAGCCCUCUUUCAGCCAACCCCCACGACAGUGAUUUGUCUGAUAUCAUUUAGCAUCUUUAAACAUUGUCUUCCCGAGUAAUGGGAUGGCCUUGGUCCACCAAGAGCUUAUAAGUGAAGUAAAGAGCAGAUGUGGCAUUUAGGGGCACAGUAGGGGUGGGUGGGUGGUUGGAGUAGAUGAUUUUAGUGGUGUUUUCCAACCUUAAUGGUUCUGUGAAGUGCGCUGAGCUCAGUGGGAGAAUCCCGUGAGUGGAUGUGUUGUCUUGUUUUGUAUUUUUGUUGAUUGCUGAAGACUGGAAACUCUUGGAGGAGGAAGGAGGGCAGAAUGAGAACCUCACACUUGCAAAACUCACUGCUGGGUGGUGGAAUGCUUUCCGUUUGACCCUGGAUAAGUUGAGGACUAGGGGGGGGUGGAACUGGGCUGUUGGGAGCACUCUGGCAAGCAGGGUGAGGCCAUACGAUCAUAGGAUAUCCCAGGUUGGAAUGGGCCCAUAGGGAUCAUCGAGUCCAACUCCUAUGAGGGUUUUGUGGGGCUUCUCGGUCAUUUGGGAUCUCCAGAAAGUCCCAAGAAGCUGAUAGAAAACAGAGGAAAAAAAUGGGCCUUUGCUUCUUCAUUGUGUUGCCUUCAUCAAGAGGACCGGUGUUAGCGUGUUGGGUGGCUGCAAAGAGCAAAGGAGCUCUCACCAAUGCAGAUUAGAAGCUAAGGGUGGAAAACACCUCCAGGAUCCUCCAUGUCCAACCCCGGCCCACUCCACCACGUCCCCAAAUGCCACAUCUCCGUGGUUCUGGGACCCCUCCUGGGACAGAGAUCCCACCACAUCAGGCCCUGUGUUUGCAU